This 494-nucleotide ribosomal RNA is filed under the name uncultured bacterium. RNAcentral describes it as "bacterial SSU rRNA". It matches the Rfam family "Bacterial small subunit ribosomal RNA", at positions 338 to 829 of the family's 1533-position model. The record is from RNAcentral.
CCUACGGGAGGCAGCAGUAAGGAAUAUUGGUCAAUGGAGGCAACUCUGAACCAGCCAUGCCGCGUGCAGGAUGACGGCCCUAUGGGUUGUAAACUGCUUUUAUACAAGAGAAAACCCUGGUACGUGUACCAGGUUGAUAGUAUUGUAAGAAUAAGCAUCGGCUAACUUCGUGCCAGCAGCCGCGGUAAGACGAAGGAUGCAAGCGUUAUCCGGAUUCAUUGGGUUUGAAGGGUGCGUAGGCGGACUGAUAAGUCAGUGGUGAAAUCUCUUUGCUUAACAAAGAAACUGCCAUUGAUACUGUCGGUCUAGAGUAUAGAUGACGUUGGCGGAAUAUGACAUGUAGUGGUGAAAUACUUAGAUAUGUCAUAGAACACCGAUUGCGAAGGCAGCUAACGAAACUAUAACUGACGCUGAGGCACGAAAGUGGNGGAGUACAACAGAGUAGUAUACCUACGUAGUCGCACCGUAACGAUAGUAUUACUCGUUGUUGGUCG